Molecule: ribosomal RNA, 526 nt
Filed under: uncultured eukaryote
Lineage: Eukaryota
Description: SSU rRNA
Rfam family: Eukaryotic small subunit ribosomal RNA
Source: RNAcentral
CAGCGAAACUGCGAAUGGCUCAUUAUAUAAGUUCAUCUUGUUAUAUUUGAUAGUGCCUUACUACUUGGAUAACCGUGGUAAUUCUAGAGCUAAUACAUGCUAAAAACCCCGACUUCGGAAGGGGUGUAUUUAUUAGAUACAAAACCAAUGCCCUUCGGGGCUCUUUGGUGAUUCAUGAUAACUAUACGAAUCGCACGGCCUUGCGCCGGCGAUGGUUCAUUCAAAUUUCUUCCCUAUCAACUUUCGAUGUUUGGGUAUUGGCCAAACAUGGUUGCAACGGGUAACGGAGGGUUAGGGCUCGACCCCGGAGAAGGAGCCUGAGAAACGGCUACUACAUCCAAGGAAGGCAGCAGGCGCGCAAAUUACCCAAUCCCGACUCGGGGAGGUAGUGACAAUAAAUACUGAUACAGGGCCCUUUCGGGCCUUGUAAUUGGAAUCAGCACACUUUAAAUCCCUUAACGAGGAACAAUUGGAGGGCAAGUCUGGUGCCAGCAGCCGCGGUAAUUCCAGCUCCAAUAGCGUAUAU